RNAcentral lists this ribosomal RNA (809 nucleotides) under uncultured bacterium. RNAcentral describes it as "bacterial SSU rRNA". It matches the Rfam family "Bacterial small subunit ribosomal RNA", at positions 42 to 896 of the family's 1533-position model. The record is from RNAcentral.
GCAGGCUUAACACAUGCAAGUCGAGCGCUCGCAGCAAUGCGGGAGCGGCAGACGGGUGAGUAUCGCGUGGGAACAUACCCUCCGGUUCGGAAUAACUCAGGGAAACUUGAGCUAAUACCGGAUACGGCUUAGCGGCGAAAGAUUUAUCGCCGGAGGAUUGGCCCGCGUCCGAUUAGCUAGUUGGUGAGGUAAUGGCUCACCAAGGCGACGAUCGGUAGCUGGUCUGAGAGGAUGAUCAGCCACGUUGGGACUGAGACACGGCCCAAACUCCUACGGGAGGCAGCAGUGGGGAAUAUUGGACAAUGGGCGCAAGCCUGAUCCAGCCAUGCCGCGUGAGUGAUGACGGCCUUAGGGUUGUAAAGCUCUUUCGCUAGGGACGAUAAUGACGGUACCUAGAUAAGAAGCCCCGGCUAACUUCGUGCCAGCAGCCGCGGUAAUACGAAGGGGGCUAGCGUUGUUCGGAAUUACUGGGCGUAAAGCGCGUGUAGGCGGGCUUUUAAGUCAGGGGUGAAAUGCCAAGGCUCAACCUUGGAACUGCCUUUGAUACUGGAAGUCUUGAGUCCGGGAGAGGUGAGUGGAACUGCGAGUGUAGAGGUGAAAUUCGUAGAUAUUCGCAAGAACACCAGUGGCGAAGGCGGCUCACUGGCCCGGAACUGACGCUGAGACGCGAAAGCGUGGGGAGCAAACAGGAUUAGAUACCCUGGUAGUCCACGCUGUAAACGAUGGAUGCUAGCCGUUGGGGAGCUUGCUCUUCAGUGGCGCAGCUAACGCUUUAAGCAUCCCGCCUGGGGAGUACGGUCGCAAGAUUA